GGGAAUAUUGCACAAUGGGCGAAAGCCUGAUGCAGCAACGCCGCGUGAGUGAUGAAGGCCUUCGGGUUGUAAAGCUCUGUCUUCUGGGACGAUAAUGACGGUACCAGAGGAGGAAGCCACGGCUAACUACGUGCCAGCAGCCGCGGUAAUACGUAGGUGGCAAGCGUUGUCCGGAUUUACUGGGCGUAAAGGAUGCGUAGGCGGAUACUUAAGUCAGAUGUGAAAAUCCCGGGCUUAACUUGGGAACUGCAUUUGAAACUGGGUAUAUAGAGUGCGGGAGAGGAAAGUGGAAUUCCUAGUGUAGCGGUGAAAUGCGUAGAGAUUAGGAAGAACACCAGUGGCGAAGGCGACUUUCUGGACCGUAACUGACGCUGAGGCAUGAAAGCGUGGGGAGCAAACA
This 400-nucleotide ribosomal RNA is filed under the name uncultured bacterium. Its description in RNAcentral is "bacterial SSU rRNA". It matches the Rfam family "Bacterial small subunit ribosomal RNA", at positions 357 to 774 of the family's 1533-position model. The record is from RNAcentral.